Long non-coding RNA from Eptesicus fuscus (big brown bat), 840 nucleotides. RefSeq lists it as uncharacterized. The record is from RefSeq and is a predicted model, not a curated record. NCBI's taxonomy places the organism in Eukaryota, Metazoa, Chordata, Mammalia, Chiroptera, Vespertilionidae. The transcript has 3 exons.
CUGAGUCAGCCGGCCUGCGCUGGGGCUCCAGGCUUCGCGGAAGGAACCUAACCCCUGUGGGGUUCAGCCCUGGUGCCCGGAAGAGUUAAUGCUCCAGUCUCCAGGUUGUGGAGCCUAGAAGGACCCUGCGCGCUGCUUGGCGCGUGGGUGUCGCUGUCUCGCGGCCUGGCUCUGUGAGGCGGAGAGCGUCGGGGUGGUUCCUAAACCCCCUUCAGGAGGCCUGCGGCCGUUAUCUGGAGCCCCGCCGGGUAGAGGUCGCCGCCCGCUGACCUCGCAGGGUCCUCGGCCUUCCUGGCCCAGCUGGCCGUACCCGAAGCCUUUUUGUUCCGUUCAGGAUCAACGGACCUGAGGAUACCCCGUUUUGGGCUGUGCACAUCACAAUUGUUUUUUCUUGUGAGGACAGCGUGCUUCCUGUAGAAUGGGAACCUUCUUUUUAUCUUGUAUUUCCUGCAGUGCCUGGCCGAAUUACCUGAUUAAGCCACCUGAGCUGCUGCGGGUACGAACAAGCCUUAAAUAUGGACCCCUGCCAGCCAACGAUGCUCGUCUUGUCGAGACAUUACAAAGGCCCGUCCCUUUGUUGGUCUGACAUGCGAAGCCGCUCCAUGCUCCUCUUCCUGCCAGAUGACAGAAGAACGGCCAGUAAUCCCCAAUGGAGACGGGACCGAGCUCUUGGGAGAAGAACGCCGGCCCCUGCACCCGGACCAGCCCAGCCCAGCUGCCCCACCACAGAGAACAACACCACGGGGAUCCCUAACUAAGCUAGUACCUGCAGCUCAGGAAUUUGUGUGAGUAAUAAAAAGCUGUGUGAUUUGCAACUGCAUAUGCUUCAUGUGGUGUGAU